UUGAACGCUGGCGGUCGGCCUAACACAUGCAAGUCGAACGGCAGCACAGUAAGAGCUUGCUCUUACGGGUGGCGAGUGGCGGACGGGUGAGGAAUACAUCGGAAUCUACUUUUUCGUGGGGGAUAACGUAGGGAAACUGACGCUAAUACCGCAUACGACCUACGGGUGAAAGCAGGGGAUCUUCGGACCUUGCGCGAUUGAAUGAGCCGAUGUCGGAUUAGCUAGUUGGCGGGGUAAAGGCCCACCAAGGCGACGAUCCGUAGCUGGUCUGAGAGGAUGAUCAGCCACACUGGAACUGAGACACGGUCCAGACUCCUACGGGAGGCAGCAGUGGGGAAUAUUGGACAAUGGGCGCAAGCCUGAUCCAGCCAUACCGCGUGGGUGAAGAAGGCCUUCGGGUUGUAAAGCCCUUUUGUUGGGAAAGAAAAGCAGCAGGUUAAUACCCCGCUGUUCUGACGGUACCCAAAGAAUAAGCACCGGCUAACUUCGUG
Molecule: ribosomal RNA, 491 nt
Filed under: uncultured bacterium
Lineage: Bacteria
Description: partial 16S ribosomal RNA
Rfam family: Bacterial small subunit ribosomal RNA
Source: RNAcentral